GUAGGGAAUCUUCCGCAAUGGACGAAAGUCUGACGGAGCAACGCCGCGUGAGCGAUGAAGGUUUUCGGAUCGUAAAGCUCUGUUGUUAGGGAAGAACAAGUAUCGGAGUAACUGCCGGUACCUUGACGGUACCUAACCAGAAAGCCACGGCUAACUACGUGCCAGCAGCCGCGGUAAUACGUAGGUGGCAAGCGUUGUCCGGAUUUAUUGGGCGUAAAGCGCGCGCAGGCGGUCCUUUAAGUCUGAUGUGAAAUCUUGCGGCUCAACCGCAAGCGGUCAUUGGAAACUGGGGGACUUGAGUACAGAAGAGGAAAGUGGAAUUCCACGUGUAGCGGUGAAAUGCGUAGAGAUGUGGAGGAACACCAGUGGCGAAGGCGACUUUCUGGUCUGUAACUGACGCUGAGGCGCGAAAGCGUGGGGAGCAAACAGGAUUAGAAACCCGGGUAGUCC
This 450-nucleotide ribosomal RNA is filed under the name uncultured Bacillus sp. Its description in RNAcentral is "bacterial SSU rRNA". It matches the Rfam family "Bacterial small subunit ribosomal RNA", at positions 354 to 796 of the family's 1533-position model. The record is from RNAcentral. Lineage: Bacteria; Bacillati; Bacillota; Bacilli; Caryophanales; Bacillaceae.